AGAGUGGUUAGCGGCAAUAAGUAGAUUCAGCCGUGACAUACACUGUUUGAACCUGAUGGAGACUCAAUAUAAAGUGAUACAUUUUUGGUAUUUGGAUCCUAAAAAAAUUUCCAAGUUCUCUUAUAUGAAAGAUAAUAAAUGUUGGAGGUGCAAUAAAGAUGAGGCAGACUACUUACAUAUGUGGUGGAAUUGUGAAGUUGCAGUUAAUUUAUGGGACAUGACUUAUGAAAAGCUGCAGGCUCUAGGG
Pelobates cultripes (western spadefoot toad) is the source of this 247-nucleotide non-coding RNA. Lineage: Eukaryota; Metazoa; Chordata; Amphibia; Anura; Pelobatidae. The record is from the annotation of a GenBank genome assembly.